This is a long non-coding RNA of Gallus gallus (chicken), 650 nucleotides long. NCBI's taxonomy places the organism in Eukaryota, Metazoa, Chordata, Aves, Galliformes, Phasianidae. The record is from Ensembl.
GUCUGGUGUUGUAGUAGGUGCUUGAUGGUGAUAUGUGCUGUAUGGGAUAGGCCUCUCCCUAAGCAUAGUGAAAGGGUGCUGUUGUGCUCAGGCAGACUGUUCUUGCUAAUGAAGUAAACAAGAUUAGAAGGCGAAGGAAUGAGGAGACAAUAGGAGCCAAAUAAGGAAUUGUGAAUGGCACUCAUCAUGAAAGGCAGUCUAUACAGAGAAAUCUGGAUAAGAAAAAUACUUUGCUCCCUUCCCUGACUUGGGACUACUCAUUGCUGCAGCUGUUCACCAUCCCACAGUUUUUCCCCAAAGCAAUUUGUGGAACUACUGCAAACCAGAUCAUGGAAAUGGAACAGGUUACAGGUCUACAAAAUGUCUUAGAAUAGUUGCAACUGUUAACCUGCUGUAAAACAAAACAAGAAAAUGGGGAAAAAAUCAUGAAGAAUUCAAGAAGCCAAAUGAAAAUUCUUGCUAUUAACUCUGGUAUUCACAUCAAACAUCUCUUUAUUGUCCCUCUUAUUUUGAUUAUUCCUUAGAAAUAUUUAAUCAGAAAAAGAUAUGUCACAAAAGAAAUAUUAUGGAGUCACAAAAUUUGCCUAUGAGUGGUAAGGGGAACAAAGUACUUGAUUUGGGGUCUCAAGCAUCCCAGUUUGAUGGCAGAU